CUACGGGGUGCACCAGUGGGGAAUAUUACACAAUGGGCGCAAGCCUGAUGCAGCCAUGCCGCGUGUAUGAAGAAGGCCUUCGGGUUGUAAAGUACUUUCAGCGGGGAGGAAGGGAGUAAAGUUAAUACCUUUGCUCAUUGACGUUACCCGCAGAAGAAGCACCGGCUAACUCCGUGCCAGCAGCCGCGGUAAUACGGAGGGUGCAAGCGUUAAUCGGAAUUACUGGGCGUAAAGCGCACGCAGGCGGUUUGUUAAGUCAGAUGUGAAAUCCCCGGGCUCAACCUGGGAACUGCAUCUGAUACUGGCAAGCUUGAGUCUCGUAGAGGGGGGUAGAAUUCCAGGUGUAGCGGUGAAAUGCGUAGAGAUCUGGAGGAAUACCGGUGGCGAAGGCGGCCCCCUGGACGAAGACUGACGCUCAGGUGCGAAAGCGUGGGGAGCAAACAGGAUUAGAUACCCCCGUAGUC
Molecule: ribosomal RNA, 464 nt
Filed under: uncultured bacterium
Lineage: Bacteria
Description: partial 16S ribosomal RNA
Rfam family: Bacterial small subunit ribosomal RNA
Source: RNAcentral